RNAcentral lists this ribosomal RNA (415 nucleotides) under uncultured Planctomycetota bacterium. RNAcentral's name for it is "bacterial SSU rRNA". It matches the Rfam family "Bacterial small subunit ribosomal RNA", at positions 505 to 916 of the family's 1533-position model. The record is from RNAcentral. Lineage: Bacteria; Pseudomonadati; Planctomycetota.
GUGCCAGCAGCCGCGGUAAUACAGAGGUGGCAAGCGUUGUUCGGAAUUAUUGGGCGUAAAGAGCACGUAGGUGGGUUUGUAAGUCAGUUGUGAAAGCCUUAUGUUCAACGGAAGAAUUGCAUCUGAAACUGCUAGUCUUGAGUGUAGGAGGGGAGAAUGGAACUUCUGGUGGAGCUGUGAAAUGCGUAGAUAUCAGAAGGAACACCGGCGGCGAAAGCGAUUCUCUGGCCUAUUACUGACACUCAGGGUGCGAAAGCUAGGGGAGCAAACGGGAUUAGAUACCCCGGUAGUCCUGGCUGUAAACGAUGGGCACUAAGUAGAGGGAAUUACCGAUGUUCUCUCUGCCGUAGCUAACGCAUUAAGUGCCCCGCCUGGGGAGUACGGCCGCAAGGCUAAAACUUAAAGAAAUUGACGG